GAUGAACGCUAGCGGCAGGCCUAACACAUGCAAGUCGAGGGGUAGCAGGAUUAAGCUUGCUUAAUUGCUGACGACCGGCGCACGGGUGCGUAACGCGUAUGCAACCUACCUUAUACUGGGGUAUAGCCCGGAGAAAUUCGGAUUAAUCCCCCAUAGUACUAAUGAAUCGCAUGGUUUAUUAGUUAAAGCAUUGCGGUAUAAGAUGGGCAUGCGUCCUAUUAGCUAGAUGGUGAGGUAACGGCUCACCAUAGCUACGAUAGGUAGGGGGCCUGAGAGGGUGGUCCCCCACACUGGUACUGAGACACGGACCAGACUCCCACGGGAGGCAGCAGUGAGGAAUAUUGGUCAAUGGGCGCAAGCCUGAACCAGCCAUGCCGCGUGCAGGAAGAAUGCCCUAUGGGUUGUAAACUGCCUUUAUUUGGGAAUAAACCUCUUUACGUGUAGAGAGCUGAAGGUACCAAAUGAAUAAGCACCGGCUAACUCCGUGCCAGCAGCCGCGGUAA
This 503-nucleotide ribosomal RNA is filed under the name uncultured bacterium. RNAcentral's name for it is "partial 16S ribosomal RNA". It matches the Rfam family "Bacterial small subunit ribosomal RNA", at positions 28 to 523 of the family's 1533-position model. The record is from RNAcentral.